GGUAGCUGUUAAAAGCCUUAGCCUUAAAGAACACAAUCAGAGAUAGUGAAAUUAAAGUGAAAAUUGAUUUAAGAGCCUCUCCUUCACCAAGCAAGACCAAUGAUGCAAAAAGUACAGAUAAAUAACACAAUGAUUUUGUUUCAUAAAAUGCUGAACUGCAAUAAUUGAGUUAGGGUAGUUGUAUCUAUAUUCUUACCUAUUC
RNAcentral lists this unclassified non-coding RNA (202 nucleotides) under Hevea brasiliensis (rubber tree). Lineage: Eukaryota; Viridiplantae; Streptophyta; Magnoliopsida; Malpighiales; Euphorbiaceae. The record is from RNAcentral.